Molecule: long non-coding RNA, 883 nt
Organism: Neogale vison (American mink)
Lineage: Eukaryota; Metazoa; Chordata; Mammalia; Carnivora; Mustelidae
Exons: 3
Source: RefSeq, a predicted model, not a curated record
CUGUCUUUUGAAACACUAAAACUUUUGCAAUGUUUGCCAUUUUGCCCUGCAACCUAGCGCAUUGCAUUUGCAUUGUUUGUAAAUGCCUGCAACAACCAUACCCUCAACCAGACCUGGUGUUAAUGUGAUGGGUGGAGACAGAAGCAAGAGCCAAGUGAAGGCUGUUGUAGUUGAAUGCGAGGUUUGGGGUUAAUUCUGUAUUUUUCUUCCCCCUGGAUUGCAAGCUUCUUGAGGACAAAACCUUCGUCUUAUUUUGUUUCAUGUCCCCAGGAUCUGACACUGGACUCCAUAAAUGUCUGUUACAAUGUUCUUUAAUUGAAGUUGAAAUGAAGAAGCUGACGUAAAAGGAAGGAAAUGAAUAUAUGACCAAGAGUUUGCUCUUCUGGAAAUGAAUAAAUGGUUUCAUUAGUAUCAAAAAGUUAAGACUGAUUUGGAACAUCAGAGAGCUUUAAGUCCUGUGGAUAAUAUGGAGAUUGGCUUCCAUUUCUCAGCACUUCUGCUUCUUUGAAAUAAGGAAGUUCAUAGACCUUCCUUAGUUUCCUUGUGCCCGCUUGUCUUCCCCGUCCCCCUUUGGUGUUUUACAAAACUGAGUCAUUGAAACCCUUCCCCUCUCACCACCAUACAGACAGACGUGGUGUAAUGAUCAAGAAAAGAAACCUUUUCAUUCCUCUAGGCUGUCGGAAAUCCUAGUGAUUAAGUGUCAUUUCAGGUCAUUGAUGUGAAAUCAUUUGAAUUUUUUUUUUAAACAGUUGGCAGUGAUUAGGAAUGGCUAAUCUUGCUUGAGCUGUUCUUUCAGUAAUCAAGUUUAGGUAAAUAUUAGACCAAUUGAAACUGAAAAAAGGGUUUUAGUUAAAUACAUAUGUAUAAAGAAGAAUGGUAAACA